GCUCACUGCAACCUCGACCUCCAGGCUCAGGUGAUCCUCUCACCUUAGCCUCUCGAGUAAGUAGCUGGGACUACAGGCAUAUACCUGCAUUCCUGGCUAAUGUUUUGUAUUUUUUGUAGAAACAGGGUUUCACCUUGUUGCCCUGGCUGGUCUCACUCUUGGGCUGAAGCCAUCUGCCGGCCUCAGCCUCUCUGAGUGUUGGAAUUACAGAUGUGAGCCACUGUGGCCAGUCGACAAUUUUUAAAGGUUAACAAAAAAUUUUAAAAGCCUUUCUUGAACUGCAGCAUGAAGAUCACAUUCAUUCUAAUAAGACUGUAUUUAAACUAUGGACGAGAAGACGCCUGAUUUUUUGGAAGUGUCUGCACCGUUAUUGACGUUAUUUUCUCUCUUAGGUAUUACAGGAUACUCGGUGUUUUUGUCUUUCAAAGUGCUUUAAAAAGUGCUUAAAGGGGUUUAAAAAUCCCACACCCGGAGGAAAAAGAGGAAAAUGAAAAUCAAAUAAUUUCCUAUCCUGUCAAUGAUAUUCCUCUCACUAUCAGUUCACUGUGUUCUAUGUGUUCUGAGGAUAUAUUCCAUGCCCUACAUCCUGGGGAAAAAAUAAUAUGUGCCCCUGGGAAAGAAAAUUCUAUUGUGCUUGGAAGCUACCCUAGAGCUGUUUCUUUUAAGAAGGGAAAUAAAUUGGAACAACAUCCUAAGAAACAUGACAUCCUAUGUGUCAUUCAUUGCAGCUCAGUUUCUAAUCAGAAGUUACAGUUUGACCAAAAUGAAGUAUUUUAUGGUACCGGCAAAUGUUUGGGAAUAUUUAUUUCUAUAUUAUCAAAUAAGAAAGGCACAAUGAUAUGUCUUUAAUGAGAGGUUUAUAACUACACGUAGUUAUAGCAAUUAAAUGUUGGUCAUCUUAGAUAGUAAAUAUCAUUGGUCUAUUUUCCAUUGUACUUAAUAUUAUAGUUGACCUCUGGGUUUGAACUAUUCAAAAAUAGGUUUAUAUGUACAAAAAUUCUACUUACUAGUGUUAUUGCUAUGAGAGAUUUUCCAUUCUGGAAUAGACCCAAUCACUGUACCACCUAUAACUGCAUUUGCCACUCUAGUCUUUCUUUUGAUUUUCCAGCUACUAGAUAUGAUUAAACCUGUAAUAAAUGGAGUGAAGCCUCUAUAUUACAUUCUCCAGGGAGUUUUUU
This 1178-nucleotide long non-coding RNA is filed under the name Homo sapiens (human). Its description in RNAcentral is "HSALNT0046814". The record is from RNAcentral. Lineage: Eukaryota; Metazoa; Chordata; Mammalia; Primates; Hominidae.